GAUGAACGCUGGCGGCGUGCUUAACACAUGCAAGUCGAGCGUGAUUUUUGUGGAAAUUCUUUCGGGAAUGGAAAUGAAAUGAAAGUGGCGAACGGGUGAGUAACACGUGAGCAACCUACCUUACACAGGGGGAUAGCCGUUGGAAACGACGAUUAAUACCGCAUGAGACCACAGAAUCGCAUGAUAUAGGGGUCAAAGAUUUAUCGGUGUAAGAAGGGCUCGCGUCUGAUUAGCUAGUUGGAAGGGUAAAGGCCUACCAAGGCGACGAUCAGUAGCCGGUCUGAGAGGAUGAACGGCCACAUUGGAGCUGAGACACGGUCCAAACUCCUACGGGAGGCAGCAGUGGGGAAUAUUGCACAAUGGGGGGAACCCAGAUGCAGCGACGCCGCGUGAGCGAAGAAGGUUUUCGAAUCGUAAAGCCCUGUCCUAUGAGAAGAUAAUGACGGUAUCAUAGGAGGAAGCCCCGGCUAAAUACGUG
This 478-nucleotide ribosomal RNA is filed under the name uncultured bacterium. RNAcentral describes it as "partial 16S ribosomal RNA". It matches the Rfam family "Bacterial small subunit ribosomal RNA", at positions 28 to 507 of the family's 1533-position model. The record is from RNAcentral.